AGAUAAUCGGUUUUGGCAUCCCGCAUAAAUGAAAACCAUCUACAGUAUUCUUGCUACUAUUCACUCGCAUUAAGGAGUACUGUAGCUAAUUGUGUAAUCAUAGAUGUACAAUUGCCUUAUCUUCCGUUCUUUCGAAAUAAACAAUAAUAAACUGUAAAUAAUUUAUACAAGUUUUGUUUUGUUCCGGUGUUGAAUCACAGUUAAGAAUUAUAUCUUCCAAUGAUAAAUAUGCGAUUAACAUAUUAGUUCAGCAAUGAUGCUUAAAAGACCACAGAAUUAUUUUCCCGUGUAGCUGUUGUUGAUUUCGUU
Long non-coding RNA from Armigeres subalbatus, 309 nucleotides. RefSeq lists it as uncharacterized. The transcript has 3 exons. The record is from RefSeq and is a predicted model, not a curated record. Lineage: Eukaryota; Metazoa; Arthropoda; Insecta; Diptera; Culicidae.